UUGACGAUGAUGUCAUCUCCUUCUCCACUGUAAAAUACUUGCUUUAAAUUGUUAGGUUCACGAAUCUCCAUCUCUUCCAGGUUCUGAAAACUUGGAGACACGGAGACAGGGAAGACAUAUUCCAGAUACUGACAGGAAACUAUACAAAGAGUUUUUAAUUUUGGGAAGCCAAUAGACUCUGGAAUUAUUUCCCCUUCGUCAUCCUUCUCUCUGAUAAGACGCUUCAAUCCACCGCAUUCUUUUAUCUGUAGUGUUUCCAGAUGAAUAAGACUUUGAGCGAGGGACGGUGUGAAGAUAAAUGUCAGUUUGUCAAGAGACGACAACUCCAGAUGAAUAAGACUUUGGAGGCUGACAAGUCUAGUGGGCCCCUUCCAUAUACAUUUGAGCUCAGGUAAAUAGCACAGCCGUAACGUUGUUAAAGAUGAUAGCAGCGGCAGCUCCUUUUCCUCACUGCUUCCUUCAUCAGCCUCACUCAAUUUCCACACUCCUUAGAUUUUUCAAAGCUUGCCGCCAUUUUGCUGGAAACAGAGUGCGAAUAUCCCCACAUUCUUUCACUUCUACAUGUUCUAAUCUUUGUAAGAAGUCCUUUUGCGACCAAUGGCCGUGGGAGGUCAUCUGAUCAGAGGACAAUACUAUAUUUCUUAAACCCUUCACUCUCCAAAAACAAAUAUGAGACACGGUAGGAAACAACUGCUCAAAUGUCGAGGUUGGGUAUACUCUUUUUGAAUACCCAUUCCCUAACACUAUAUCAUAUUUGAGCAAGCUGGGAAAAACAAAAUCUCUGGGAAUGCAUUCAACCUUCGGUAUCUUCAAUGAUAAUACAGCUAAAUGAGACAGCGAACUUAGCUCUGUUAGGCUUGCAUUCAUUCCUUCUGUGCUCUCACAUCCAACAACAUCCCAUCCCUUGAAGCUGAAAUCCCCGAUCAGCAGUUCUUCUAACUUCUUCAACCUUCCUAUCAAAUUCACAGGAAUCCUUCUUAGAUUUUUACAACCUGUCAAAUCCAACAAACUUAACUCCUUGAGCUCCCCAAUUUCAUCAGGUAAUUCUUCAAUGGAGCAGCACCACCUGAAAACAAGAAUCCUAAGUCUUUGCAGCUCUCUCAACCCAAUGAGGUCCUUGCACUUACACCUUCUCAACAGCAACGACUGAAGGUUCGUUGAGAAUUGAAGUGAUUGCAAUGACAAACACCCUCCCUUUAGAGACAAAACUUCUAUUGCUUUCAUCCCUUCAAAAAACCUCUCUGGAACAUUCAAAUCAUCAUCCAGUUCUAAUAAAAGAACUUUGAGCUGUGGACACACCAAUCCUUCAGGAAGUUCUGCUAGUUGAUUGCCCAUUAACGAAAUUGUUGUAACACUAUUAUUUACACUCUUCCACCCAUUGCCAGCACUUACCAUGAAUCCAUAUUCUUUAGUUGCUAUGUCAAUAGCAACUUCACGAAACAAGUCAUGCAUUUUCACAUUUUCUUCACUUUCAGUGCCCAACAGCAUACACCUAUCUUUGAGGGCUUUCAUCUCCGCAUAAACUUGUUCCCUUGCAUCUUCAAUGGACUCCGCAUCUUUAUGUAACCCAUAGCCAACUGCGUAUCUCGUCAAGUCCUCAAUUGGAAUGCUGUAAUCUUCUGGAAAUGAACAGCAUAGCAAGAAACAUAACUUGGUUUCCUUGGACUUCAAAUAAUCGUAGCUCAACUUAAGACAUGCAUAUGGAUUACUUCGGUCAUCAACGUUUUCCAUGUGCCGAGAUUGAGAUUUUUUGAGGUUUUUAGAUGCUAAUUUCCACUCAUUUUUAGAUUGAUCUUUUAGAGCCCUUCCUACUGCCUUAAGUGCUAAAGGCAAUCCUUGGCAUUUUCUCACAACCUUCUCUGCAACACCGUUCAAGUCAGAGUCCUCAUCACUUAAACCUGCGUUGCUUUUGAAUAAAGCCCAAGCUUCAAUUUCAGUAAAGGGACUUAACAACACUUUUUGCUGGCACGCCAAAUAAGAACAUAGUUCUUGAUUACGUGUUGUUAGAAGAAUUUUACAACCCCUGUGAUCAUCACCAAAUGGGAUCCCUGUCUCUUGGAAGUCAAUAUCUUUCCAAACAUCAUCCAGGACUAUAAGCAACUUCUUUCCAAACAUAAUUCAUUCAUUUGCUCUCCCUUCUUUACUCUUUUUGACAAAAGUCAAAUCUAAACGAUCUGCCAUUUGAUCCUGGAUGCCUGUGACAUUUGGAUUCUGGGACACCGUAGCCAUCAAAACUUCAUCAAACAACUGCAACUCUUUGGCCAACCUGGCUACUUGUUUCACCAGGGUGGUUUUACCCACCCCUCCCAUGCCGUACAGUCUGAUCAUAUUGAUCUUGUCAUCUUUGAGAGCUUUCAUAAUCUGUUUGAAAGCUUCUUCUGACAAUCCUGAGAGUGUGAAUUCCUUUGAUGGAAGAAAUUUUAUCUCUGGAAGAGGUGCUUUGCAGGAAACUGUUGUAAACUUUGUGCUAGUUUCUUGAAGUUUUCUGAAAGUCUCCGACUUCUUGGCCAGUGCCAUGCUUAACUUGAAUUGUCGCUUGCAGUUUGGACACCAAGUAAAGCAUUUGCCAUUUUUUUCUAUUUCAUUUUCCAAAGGCUUCGCACCUUCAAUUCUGUUGUUUGCAUCUUCCAGCCAUUCGAUGACAUCUUUGUAAAUUUCUUCAGCAUUCCUUUCAGCAACUCGGACAGCAUCUUGCAGACGAUCUAUUACCGAAACCAGGUGCUCCUUUUGUUCUUUG
This 2737-nucleotide long non-coding RNA is filed under the name Populus tremula. Its description in RNAcentral is "long non-coding RNA (PTRE_LNC003051)". Lineage: Eukaryota; Viridiplantae; Streptophyta; Magnoliopsida; Malpighiales; Salicaceae. The record is from RNAcentral.